UACAGAGGGGGCAAGCGUUAUUCGGAAUUAUUGGGCGUAAAGGGCGCGUAGGCGGCUUUGCAAGUGGCGGGUGAAAUCCCUCGGCUUAACCGAGGAACUGCCUGCCAGACUGUGAGGCUUGAGGCCGGGAGAGGUGAGUGGAAUUCCCAGUGUAGCGGUGAAAUGCGUAGAUAUUGGGAGGAACACCAGUGGCGAAGGCGGCUCACUGGACCGGAACUGACGCUGAGGCGCGAAAGCGUGGGGAGCAAACAGG
RNAcentral lists this ribosomal RNA (253 nucleotides) under uncultured bacterium. RNAcentral describes it as "partial 16S ribosomal RNA". It matches the Rfam family "Bacterial small subunit ribosomal RNA", at positions 524 to 776 of the family's 1533-position model. The record is from RNAcentral.